GAACGCUGGCGGCAGGCCUAACACAUGCAAGUCGAGCGGUAACAUUUCUAGCUUGCUAGAAGAUGACGAGCGGCGGACGGGUGAGUAACGCGUAGAAAUCUACCUAGUAGUGGGGGAUAGCCCAGAGAAAUUUGGAUUAAUACCGCAUACGCCCUACGGGGGAAAGCGGGGGAUCUUCGGACCUCGUGCUAUUAGAUGAGUCUGCGUCGGAUUAGCUUGUUGGUGAGGUAAUGGCUCACCAAGGCGACGAUCCGUAGCUGGUCUGAGAGGAUGACCAGCCACACUGGAACUGAGACACGGUCCAGACUCCUACGGGAGGCAGCAGUGGGGAAUAUUGCACAAUGGGCGCAAGCCUGAUGCAGCCAUGCCGCGUGUGUGAAGAAGGCCUUAGGGUUGUAAAGCACUUUCAGCGGUGAGGAAAGGGGUGUCGUUAAUAGCGCCAUCCUGUGACGUUAACUGCAGAAGAAGGACCGGCUAACUCCGUG
Molecule: ribosomal RNA, 485 nt
Filed under: uncultured bacterium
Lineage: Bacteria
Description: bacterial SSU rRNA
Rfam family: Bacterial small subunit ribosomal RNA
Source: RNAcentral